GGCCCCGACGACCGCGCCCCCUCCCGCGCCGUCCUCGCGCUCAAGCGCCGCCCGCGCAUCCACGCCGGCGUCAGUCGCGUCGAGGAGGUCGAGGAGCCCCUCGACCCCGCCCUCGCCCUCGCCUGCCUCGACGACCCCGCCCGCCUCGGCGCCGUCGACUCCCCCAUCGUCCGGCUCGUCUCCGACGAGUACGGCGUCGGCGGGGACAAAGCGCCGUUCGUCUGCCUCGGCGGCUUCCGGAACACCCGCGGCGUCUAUGAGCUCGGGGAGGGUGAGGGGCAAGGGCUCAUGCUGGAGCUGGACGAGACGCAUUUCGAUUUCGGCACCAACUACGAGCUCGAGUGCAAGACCGCGGAGCCCGACCAGGCCAAGGAGGUCCUCGAGCGGCUGCUCACGGUCGCUGGGGUGCCGUAUGAGUACUCCCGGAGCAAUAAGUUCGCGUGCUUCAUGGCCGGGAAGCUGCUUCCAUGA
RNAcentral lists this ribosomal RNA (471 nucleotides) under Triticum aestivum (bread wheat). RNAcentral describes it as "partial small subunit ribosomal RNA". Lineage: Eukaryota; Viridiplantae; Streptophyta; Magnoliopsida; Poales; Poaceae. The record is from RNAcentral.